Molecule: long non-coding RNA, 1957 nt
Organism: Acyrthosiphon pisum (pea aphid)
Lineage: Eukaryota; Metazoa; Arthropoda; Insecta; Hemiptera; Aphididae
Exons: 4
Source: RefSeq, a predicted model, not a curated record
GGCAACUGUCAAGAUAACGACUUCUGAUAAGUCAAAAGACCAAACAGUGAAUAACAGUUUGAAUGAGACGAUGCAGGUCAUCUUUGACGUAAUAUUGAAAGACCCUGAACGUCGGACUAUAAGAAGUAAAUUAGCUGCAUGAUAAUUGGUGUAAUAUAAAAUAAUUUUUAUCUAAAUAAAUAAACAAUAUAUAAAUAUAAAAAUAAUUUGUAUUUAAUAAAUAAACAAUAUAUAAAUAUAAAUGAAUUUGUAUUAUAUCAUACUAUUAAGUCCUGUAAAGUCAUGUCAGACAUUGCGUUAAAAUGAAAUUGUAAUACUUCUAUUCACUGUUCAGCUGAUUGAAUAAUUAAUUUAUGUUGCAGGCGGCGUCACUCUGAGGCAACUGUCAAGAUAACGACUUCUGAUAAGUCAAAAGACCAAACAGUGAAUAACAGUUUGAAUGAGACCAUGCAGGUCAUCUUUGACGUAAUAUUGAAAGACCCUGAACGUCGGACUAUAAGAAGCGGCGUCACUCUGAGGCUACUGUCAAGAUAACGACUUCUGAUAAGUCAAAAGACCAAACAGUGAAUAACAGUUUGAAUGAGACCAUGCAGGUCAUCUUUGACGUAAUAUUGAAAGACCCUGAACGUCGGACUAUAAGAAGUAAAUUAGCUGCAUGAUAAUUGGUGUAAUAUAAAAUAAUUUUUAUCUAAAUAAAUAAACAAUAUAUAAAUAUAAAAAUAAUUUGUAUUUAAUAAAUAAACAAUAUAUAAAUAUAAAUGAAUUUGUAUUAUAUCAUACUAUUAAGUCCUGUAAAAUCAUGUCAGACAUUGCGUUAAAAUGAAAUUGUAAUACUUCUAUUCACUGUUCAGCUGAUUGAAUAAUUAAUUUAUGUUGCAGGUGGCGUCACUCUGAGGCAACUGUCAAGAUAACGACUUCUGAUAAGUCAAAAGACCAAACAGUGAAUAACAGUUUGAAUGAGACCAUGCAGGUCAUCUUUGACGUAAUAUUGAAAGACCCUGAACGUCGGACUAUAAGAAGUAAAUUAGCUGCAUGAUAAUUGGUGCGGCGUCACUCUGAGGCAACUGUCAAGAUAACGACUUCUGAUAAGUCAAAAGACCAAACAGUGAAUAACAGUUUGAAUGAGACGAUGCAGGUCAUCUUUGACGUAAUAUUGAAAGACCCUGAACGUCGGACUAUAAGAAGUAAAUUAGCUGCAUGAUAAUUGGUGUAAUAUAAAAUAAUUUUUAUCUAAAUAAAUAAACAAUAUAUAAAUAUAAAAAUAAUUUGUAUUUAAUAAAUAAACAAUAUAUAAAUAUAAAUGAAUUUGUAUUAUAUCAUACUAUUAAGUCCUGUAAAGUCAUGUCAGACAUUGCGUUAAAAUGAAAUUGUAAUACUUCUAUUCACUGUUCAGCUGAUUGAAUAAUUAAUUUAUGUUGCAGGCGGCGUCACUCUGAGGCAACUGUCAAGAUAACGACUUCUGAUAAGUCAAAAGACCAAACAGUGAAUAACAGUUUGAAUGAGACCAUGCAGGUCAUCUUUGACGUAAUAUUGAAAGACCCUGAACGUCGGACUAUAAGAAGUAAAUUAGCUGCAUGAUAAUUGGUGCGGCGUCACUCUGAGGCAACUGUCAAGAUAACGACUUCUGAUAAGUCAAAAGACCAAACAGUGAAUAACAGUUUGAAUGAGACCAUGCAGGUCAUCUUUGACGUAAUAUUGAAAGACCCUGAACGUCGGACUAUAAGAAGUAAAUUAGCUGCAUGAUAAUUGGUGUAAUAUAAAAUAAUUUUUAUCUAAAUAAAUAAACAAUAUAUAAAUAUAAAAAUAAUUUGUAUUUAAUAAAUAAACAAUAUAUAAAUAUAAAUGAAUUUGUAUUAUAUCAUACUAUUAAGUCCUGUAAAGUCAUGUCAGACAUUGCGUUAAAAUGAAAUUGUAAUACUUCUAUUCACUGUUCAGCUGAUUGAAUAAUUAAUUUAUG